This 77-nucleotide transfer RNA is filed under the name Fidelibacterota bacterium. RNAcentral describes it as "tRNA-Met". It matches the Rfam family "tRNA". From Rfam's summary of the family: Transfer RNA (tRNA) molecules are approximately 80 nucleotides in length. Their secondary structure includes four short double-helical elements and three loops (D, anti-codon, and T loops). The record is from RNAcentral. Lineage: Bacteria; Pseudomonadati; Fidelibacterota.
GGGCCCUUAGCUCAGUUGGUUAGAGCAGCGGACUCAUAAUCCGUUUGUCCGGGGUUCAAGUCCCUGAGGGCCCACAA